ACACAUGCAAGUCGAACGGACUUACAUUGAAGCCUAGCGAUAUGUAAGUUAGUGGCGGACGGGUGAGUAACGCGUGGGUAACCUGCCUUGUACUGGGGGACAACAGUUGGAAACGACUGCUAAUACCGCAUAAGCGCACAGCUUCGCAUGAAGCAGUGUGAAAAACUCCGGUGGUACAAGAUGGACCCGCGUCUGAUUAGCUGGUUGGUGAGGUAACGGCCCACCAAGGCGACGAUCAGUAGCCGGCCUGAGAGGGUGAACGGCCACAUUGGGACUGAGACACGGCCCAAACUCCUACGGGAGGCAGCAGUGGGGAAUAUUGCACAAUGGGGGAAACCCUGAUGCAGCAACGCCGCGUGAGUGAAGAAGUAUUUCGGUAUGUAAAGCUCUAUCAGCAGGAAAGAAAAUGACGGUACCUGACUAAGAAGCCCCGGCUAACUACGUGCCAGCAGCCGCGGUAAUACGUAGGGGGCAAGCGUUAUCCGGAUUUACUGGGUGUAAAGGGAGUGUAGACGGUUUUGCAAGUCUGAAGUGAAAGCCCGGGGCUUAACCCCGGGACUGCUUUGGAAACUGUAGGACUAGAGUGCAGGAGAGGUAAGUGGAAUUCCUAGUGUAGCGGUGAAAUGCGUAGAUAUUAGGAGGAACACCAGUGGCGAAGGCGGCUUACUGGACUGUAACUGACGUUGAGGCUCGAAAGCGUGGGGAGCAAACAGGAUUAGAUACCCUGGUAGUCCACGCCGUAAACGAUGAUUACUAGGUGUUGGUGGGUAUGACCCAUCGGUGCCGCAGCAAACGCAAUAAGUAAUCCACCUGGGGAGUACGUUCGCAAGAAUGAAACUCAA
Molecule: ribosomal RNA, 842 nt
Filed under: uncultured bacterium
Lineage: Bacteria
Description: bacterial SSU rRNA
Rfam family: Bacterial small subunit ribosomal RNA
Source: RNAcentral